RNAcentral lists this ribosomal RNA (500 nucleotides) under uncultured Actinomycetes bacterium. RNAcentral describes it as "bacterial SSU rRNA". It matches the Rfam family "Bacterial small subunit ribosomal RNA", at positions 8 to 522 of the family's 1533-position model. The record is from RNAcentral. Lineage: Bacteria; Bacillati; Actinomycetota; Actinomycetes.
AGAGUUUGAUCAUGGCUCAGGACGAACGCUGGCGGCGUGCUUAACACAUGCAAGUCGAACGGAAAGGCCCUUCGGGGUACUCGAGUGGCGAACGGGUGAGUAACACGUGGGUGAUCUGCCCUGCACUUCGGGAUAAGCCUGGGAAACUGGGUCUAAUACCGGAUAGGACUACGAAUCGCAUGGUUUGUGGUGGAAAGCUUUUGCGGUGUGGGAUGGGCCCGCGGCCUAUCAGCUUGUUGGUGGGGUGAUGGCCCACCAAGGCGACGACGGGUAGCCGGCCUGAGAGGGUGUCCGGCCACACUGGGACUGAGAUACGGCCCAGACUCCUACGGGAGGCAGCAGUGGGGAAUAUUGCACAAUGGGCGCAAGCCUGAUGCAGCGACGCCGCGUGAGGGAUGACGGCCUUCGGGUUGUAAACCUCUUUCAGUAUCGACGAAGCCUUUUCGGUGACGGUAGGUACAGAAGAAGCACCGGCCAACUACGUGCCAGCAGCCGCGGUA